GAUGAACGCUGGCGGCGUGCCUAAUACAUGCAAGUCGAGCGAACAGACGAGGAGCUUGCUCCUCUGACGUUAGCGGCGGACGGGUGAGUAACACGUGGAUAACCUACCUAUAAGACUGGGAUAACUUCGGGAAACCGGAGCUAAUACCGGAUAAUAUAUUGAACCGCAUGGUUCAAUAGUGAAAGACGGUUUUGCUGUCACUUAUAGAUGGAUCCGCGCCGCAUUAGCUAGUUGGUAAGGUAACGGCUUACCAAGGCAACGAUGCGUAGCCGACCUGAGAGGGUGAUCGGCCACCCUGGAACUGAGACACGGUCCAGACUCCUACGGGAGGACGCAGUAGGGAAUCUUCCGCAAUGGGCGAAAGCCUGACGGAGCAACGCCGCGUGAGUGAUGAAGGUCUUCGGAUCGUAAAACUCUGUUAUUAGGGAAGAACAAAUGUGUAAGUAACUAUGCACGUCUUGACGGUACCUAAUCAGAAAGCCACGGCUAACUACGUG
RNAcentral lists this ribosomal RNA (497 nucleotides) under uncultured bacterium. Its description in RNAcentral is "partial 16S ribosomal RNA". It matches the Rfam family "Bacterial small subunit ribosomal RNA", at positions 28 to 507 of the family's 1533-position model. The record is from RNAcentral.